Molecule: ribosomal RNA, 491 nt
Filed under: uncultured bacterium
Lineage: Bacteria
Description: bacterial SSU rRNA
Rfam family: Bacterial small subunit ribosomal RNA
Source: RNAcentral
GAACGCUAGCGGCAGGCUUAACACAUGCAAGUCGAGGGGCAGCAUGAGACGGAGAUUCGUCAAAGUCUUGAUGGCGACCGGCGCAAGGGUGCGUAACGCGUGAGCAACUUGCCCGUUUCUGGGGAAUAACCGGUGGAAACGCCGUCUAAUACCGCAUAUAUGGUUUGGAGGCAUCUCUAAAAUCAGGAAAGAAUUAUCGGACAAGGAUGGGCAUGCGGGACAUUAGGUAGUUGGGGGUGUAACGGACCACCAAGCCGACGAUGUCUAGGGGUUCUGAGAGGAAGGUCCCCCACACUGGAACUGAGACACGGUCCAGACUCCUACGGGAGGCAGCAGUGAGGAAUAUUGGUCAAUGGUCGGAAGACUGAACCAGCCAAGUAGCGUGAAGGAUGAAGGUUCUAUGGAUUGUAAACUUCUUUUAUACGGGAAUAAAACCUCCCACGUGUGGGAGCUUGUAUGUACCGUAUGAAUAAGCAUCGGCUAACUCCGUG